GUCGAGCGGUAAGGCCCUUCGGGGUACACGAGCGGCGAACGGGUGAGUAACACGUGGGUGAUCUGCCUCGCACUCUGGGAUAAGCCUGGGAAACUGGGUCUAAUACCGGAUAUGACCACCGGUCGCAUGGUUGGUGGUGGAAAGAUUUAUCGGUGCGAGAUGGGCCCGCGGCCUAUCAGCUUGUUGGUGGGGUAAUGGCCUACCAAGGCGACGACGGGUAGCCGGCCUGAGAGGGCGACCGGCCACACUGGGACUGAGACACGGCCCAGACUCCUACGGGAGGCAGCAGUGGGGAAUAUUGCACAAUGGGCGAAAGCCUGAUGCAGCGACGCCGCGUGAGGGAUGACGGCCUUCGGGUUGUAAACCUCUUUCGACAGGGACGAAGCGCAAGUGACGGUAC
Molecule: ribosomal RNA, 400 nt
Filed under: Nocardia aobensis
Lineage: Bacteria; Bacillati; Actinomycetota; Actinomycetes; Mycobacteriales; Nocardiaceae
Description: bacterial SSU rRNA
Rfam family: Bacterial small subunit ribosomal RNA
Source: RNAcentral